GUAAGACUGGGAUAACUCCGGGAAACCGGGGCUAAUACCGGAUGGUUGUUUGAACCGCAUGGUUCAAACAUAAAAGGUGGCUUCGGCUACCACUUACAGAUGGACCCGCGGCGCAUUAGCUAGUUGGUGAGGUAACGGCUCACCAAGGCAACGAUGCGUAGCCGACCUGAGAGGGUGAUCGGCCACACUGGGACUGAGACACGGCCCAGACUCCUACGGGAGGCAGCAGUAGGGAAUCUUCCGCAAUGGACGAAAGUCUGACGGAGCAACGCCGCGUGAGUGAUGAAGGUUUUCGGAUCGUAAAGCUCUGUUGUUAGGGAAGAACAAGUACCGUUCGAAUAGGGCGGUACCUUGACGGUACCUAACCAGAAAGCCACGGCUAACUACGUGCCAGCAGCCGCGGUAAUACGUAGGUGGCAAGCGUUGUCCGGAAUUAUUGGGCGUAAAGGGCUCGCAGGCGGUUUCUUAAGUCUGAUGUGAAAGCCCCCGGCUCAACCGGGGAGGGUCAUUGGAAACUGGGGAACUUGAGUGCAGAAGAGGAGAGUGGAAUUCCACGUGUAGCGGUGAAAUGCGUAGAGAUGUGGAGGAACACCAGUGGCGAAGGCGACUCUCUGGUCUGUAACUGACGCUGAGGAGCGAAAGCGUGGGGAGCGAACAGGAUUAGAUACCCUGGUAGUCCACGCCGUACACGAUGAGUGCUAAGUGUUAGGGGGUUUCCGCCCCUUAGUGCUGCAGCUAACGCAUUAAGCACUCCGCCUGGGGAGUACGGUCGCAAGACUGAAACUCAAAGGAAUUGACGGGGGCCCGCACAAGCGGUGGAGCAUGUGGUUUAAUUCGAAGCAACGCGAAGAACCUUACCAGGUCUUGACAUCCUCUGACAAUCCUAGAGAUAGGACGUCCCCUUCGGGGGCAGAGUGACAGGUGGUGCAUGGUUGUCGUCAGCUCGUGUCGUGAGAUGUUGGGUUAAGUCCCGCAACGAGCGCAACCCUUGAUCUUAGUUGCCAGCAUUCAGUUGGGCACUCUAAGGUGACUGCCGGUGACAAACCGGAGGAAGGUGGGGAUGACGUCAAAUCAUCAUGCCCCUUAUGACCUGGGCUACACACGUGCUACAAUGGACAGAACAAAGGGCAGCGAAACCGCGAGGUUAAGCCAAUCCCACAAAUCUGUUCUCAGUUCGGAUCGCAGUCUGCAACUCGACUGCGUGAAGCUGGAAUCGC
This 1217-nucleotide ribosomal RNA is filed under the name Bacillus subtilis. RNAcentral's name for it is "bacterial SSU rRNA". It matches the Rfam family "Bacterial small subunit ribosomal RNA", at positions 132 to 1335 of the family's 1533-position model. Lineage: Bacteria; Bacillati; Bacillota; Bacilli; Caryophanales; Bacillaceae. The record is from RNAcentral.